The sequence is a small nucleolar RNA, 107 nucleotides long. It matches the Rfam family "Plant small nucleolar RNA R71". Rfam says of the family: R71 is a member of the C/D box family of snoRNAs containing the C (UGAUGA) and D (CUGA) box motifs. Multiple nearly identical copies of this snoRNA have been identified in Arabidopsis, and it is thought to function as a 2'-O-ribose methylation guide for 18S ribosomal RNA. The record is from Rfam.
AUUACCAUGAUGAGGGCAUUUAUUGAGUAACUCCUUGAAUCUUUCACAUGCAUCAUACAAGCUUUCAUCUUCGAGUUGAUGGAAAAAUAUUAUCUCAUUCCUCAACU